This is a non-coding RNA of Xyrichtys novacula (pearly razorfish), 2948 nucleotides long. The record is from the annotation of a GenBank genome assembly. NCBI's taxonomy places the organism in Eukaryota, Metazoa, Chordata, Actinopteri, Labriformes, Labridae.
UUCAUGACCUUGACCACACAGUCAAAUGUUACAGCUUGUUUAAUUUAAAUGUCUGCAUUGUUUCUGUCUUCAGACCAGCCGAUGCUUCACAUGGACCUCGGUCCUUGUGCACAGCUCUGACUGGUCCUGUCCCAGGCUGAUCUUGAGGAGGGUCGCGGCAACACCCAUGUCCAGUUCCAAGCCUCGCUUGGUAAGUAGGAAACUACACUGACAACAUAGAUAGGCCAUUAGCAUGCCUUCAAAACAACAUACAAAACUUUUAUAGUCUGAAUGAUUUUAAUUACAGAAAUGUGUUUAUGAAUUCGUCUUUUUUAAUUUAAAAUUUCUUUAACUGAAUUAUAUUCAUUAAUUUAUUUCAAAGAUGUGAAACCUUCCCCUGGAAAAAUCACUUCUGCAGACUUCAGAUUUUAUAAUUUGUCCGUUUUUCUGUCUCAGGUCCCAGUGGAGCAGUAUAGCCUCGUCCAGAACCAGGAUGAGUCCACUAGGCUGUUACUGAGGAAGGUCCCACCGAUGGACGGCCCUCCACAUUUCUCCUCCACCAAGCUCAUCUCCACCGGUCCUGAGCCCAGGUGGAAGGAGAAUCUUCGGCGCCUCAUGAAACCAGGUUCUAGCGUUCCCUCUUUCUCUCCCUCUUUCUCUCCCUCUCCUCCUGUCACUCCCUCUUUCUCUCCUUCCUCUCCCUCUCCUCCUGUCUCUCCCUCUUUCUCUCGUACAUUCGCUCCCUGUUUUUCUCCCACGUUCUCUCCUCCUGUCUCUCCUCCAGUCCCUCCUCCUGUCUCUGAGCCUGAGGACCCAGAGGAGCUCUCCAGACGGAAGAGACGGUGGAUGGCCCCACUGAGGACCACUCAGGAGGAACCUGCGACCCCUUCAUCCACCAAGCGCAUCUCCACCGGUCCUGAGCCCAGGUGGAAGAAGAAUCUUCGGCGCCUCAUGAGAUCAGGUUCCAGCGGUCUAACAUGACUCACAAGAGGCCUGCUGGACGGAUGAAAAACAACCGUCCAAGCAAGAGUCCUUUUGGGGGUCAUGUUGUGCCGUAGUUUAAUUUAGUUAUUAAGCUGUAGCACAGUAAAAGAUCAUUUUAGUUGUUUGCUAAGUUAGAUAAGUUAAGUUAGAGUUAGUUAAGUUGUUUAGUUAUGAUAAGUUAAGUUAGAAUAAGUUAAGUUGUUUAGUUAUAAGUUAAGUUAGAAUAAGUUAAGUUGUUUAGUUAAGAUAAGUUAAGUUAGAAUAAGUUAAGUUGUUUAGUUAUGAUAAGUUAAGUUAGAAUAAGUUAAGUUGUUUAGUUAUAAGUUAAGUUAGAGUAAGUUAAGUUUAAGUUAAGAUAAGUUAGUUGAGUUAAGAUUAGUUAGCCUCCAGUUCCUCAGCAGCAUCUCCUCUCCUCCUCCAAUAAAAGCCUCUAUCAUCCUGCUCUGCUAUAAAGUCAAUAACAACGAAACCCCUGCUCCUCUCCAGCUCUUCCUCUCGCACUGGCUCCAAAAAAAAACCAAAUAAGGUUGUUCGGUAAUUCAAUAUUAGUUAGUCUCCAGCUCCUCAGCAGCAUCUCCUCUCCUCCUCCAAUAAAAGCCUCCAUCAUCCUGCUCUGCUAUAAAGUCAAUAACAACGAAUCCCUCACUCCGCUCCAGCUCCUCCUCCCGCACUGGCUCCUAAAAAAACAAAAAAGCUUCAAUUAAAGGCAGAAAAAAACGACUUCACCUCGGACUCAUUGGGCAGAACUUCAAGAGUCCUUGGUUGUGUUGUGUGGUUAUUUAUUUUGAUGUUAUGUGUUGAGAUGUUUUGUGUAGUGGCGCAGUUUUAGUAUAGUGUCUUGUGAUGUGUUGUUUUGUUUCAUGGGUUGUGUUGUCAUGCAUGUGUUUAUGUUGUGAUGUCUUGUUUUUUAAUGUGUUGUGUCGUCAUGUUUGAUGUUAUGUGUCGUUAUGUGCUCUGUUACCUCGUAUUGUGAUGGGUUGUUUUCUUCUGUGUGGUGUGUCGUGUGUGUGUGUGUGUGUGUUUGUGUUGUGAUGUGUUGUGUUGUAUCAUGUCCUUUCGCGUGACCUCUUUACUUGAUUUAUUCACUUAGUGGGUAAGUGAGUCUAAAGGUGAGUUUGGUUCCUCCAGAGUCAUUGUUAACAUGAAACAAAGUCAGUGUAGGACCCAUUUUCUUUUUGUUUUUUUUAGGGAAAGGACAUCCAUUGAGAAGAAACCCCCAGAAGAGCCGAGCACGAGACAGAAGACGUAGGAGGACCAAACAUACGAGAGACAAGCCCAUGAAGAGAGCGACGAAGAAAAGAUGAAUGAUGGAUCUACUGUGUGUUUCUGGGAAUUUGAAGGUAAAUAACUCUAUAGAUACUUAACAGGUUCGGCUUUUAAGAAAAAAAACAACACAAUUUUAACUGAAGGGCUGAAAUUCAUGUUUGUUUCAGGUAACUUCAAAGAGUCAAACGCCUAAAAUGACUCCAGAGUAGGCCAAAGAUGACGACCAACUAUAAGUAAGGUAAGUAAAGUUUGAUGAAUGUGUUUGUUUCAUUAAACUGUUGUCUUUAUGUGCUGCUCUAUUGACCUGCAUUUUCUUCAUCUUUCAUCUCCUUAUAUUUAUCUCUAUACAAUAGACACUCGCAAGGAUGAGAGUAAAGAUGAUAAGCAGCCGAAAGAAGAAGAUAAGAUGAGAACAGCAGCAAAGAUGGUGAACAUGGACAAGAGUUUCAGUGCAUGAAGGUACACUGACUGCAUCCUCUGCUCUUUUCUUUCAGAAUGUGAUCACUUCCUAAAGAUUGGUCUCUACAUACUUUGGUGGAUAUCUGUUAAAGGAUAUUGUAUUUUAAUAUUUUUGUCUUUUCAUUAUAGUUUAACAAGUGUAAGAGUGGCCUCCUAACGCAGCAGUUAUCCAGCUGGUGACUGAAAAGGAAAGAAGAAACUCUGGAAGGGGAGCAGCCAUGUUGACACGGAGGCUGCACCACAUUUUGAACAUGCAAAUA